Molecule: small nuclear RNA, 134 nt
Filed under: Sorex araneus (European shrew)
Lineage: Eukaryota; Metazoa; Chordata; Mammalia; Eulipotyphla; Soricidae
Description: U2 spliceosomal RNA (ENSSARG00000020022.1)
Rfam family: U2 spliceosomal RNA (bases 1-89)
About the family: U2 is a small nuclear RNA (snRNA) component of the spliceosome (involved in pre-mRNA splicing).
Source: RNAcentral
UCCACUUUUCGGCCUUCUGGCUAAGAUCAAGUGUAGUAUCUGUUCUUAUCAGUUUAAAAUGAAAUAAUACACAAAGUAAAGUACCACUGGGAGGAUGGGUGCAAGGCGGUGUUUCUCCUAAGUGCUGACCAAGU